CCUACGGGGUGCAGCAGUGGGGGAUAUUGCACAAUGAGGGAAACCCUGAUGCAGCGACGCCGCGUGUGGGAAGACGGUCUUCUGGAUUGUAAACCACUGUCCCCAGGGACGAAAAUGACGGUACCUGGGGAGGAAGCUCCGGCUAACUACGUGCCAGCAGCCGCGGUAAUACGUAGGGAGCAAGCGUUGUCCGGAAUUACUGGGUGUAAAGGGAGCGUAGGCGGGGAUGCAAGUUGGGUGUCAAAACUACCGGCUCAACCGAUAGUCGCACUCAAAACUGCAGCUCUUGAGUGAAGUAGAGGCAGGCGGAAUGCCUAGUGGAGCGGUGAAAUGCGUAGAUAUUAGGAGGAACACCAGUGGCGAAGGCGGCCUGCUGGGCUUUUACUGACGCUGAGGCUCGAAAGUGUGGGGAGCAAACAGGAUUAGAGACCCUAGUAGUC
This 440-nucleotide ribosomal RNA is filed under the name uncultured bacterium. RNAcentral describes it as "partial 16S ribosomal RNA". It matches the Rfam family "Bacterial small subunit ribosomal RNA", at positions 338 to 795 of the family's 1533-position model. The record is from RNAcentral.